CACCACUUGCAGUUCAUCUUUUUUUUUUUUGCAUUUCUAUCAGACGGAAUGAUCUGCUCCACACGUACAGUUCAUGCUGCUACCUGGUGGUGCUGACCUUCCACAAUCAUGUCAGGCCAGCUGGUUCAAGUGAGGAGAAGAAGAUUUGUCCCGUGGAGUACUGGAGCUGCAUUGUUCAUCCCACUGACAACAGUCACAAGCUAGAUGGGUCACAACUGCGAGGCUAGAUGGUUUCUCAGUGUUGUCUAUACGCACAACAUUCUGAGUUAACGUUCCCACGACAUUGGAGCGUGCUAUAUUAUCCUAUGUAGCAUAUCAAGGCAACCGGCUUACAGGAGAUAACUUCCGUCAUGUUGCAUAUCAAGGCAGUUGGUACCAAAUAAGGGCUUGGACUGGAGCAAUGUCCGAUCAUUGACUGUUUGGUGAGAGACCCAUAAAGCCGUCACCUUCAGUUUGUUCGCCAGGCUUUAGGAUGAUUAGAGUCUUGGAUUUGUAUGAUGCCAUGUUUGA
Long non-coding RNA from Triticum aestivum (bread wheat), 510 nucleotides. RefSeq lists it as uncharacterized. The transcript has 3 exons. The record is from RefSeq and is a predicted model, not a curated record. NCBI's taxonomy places the organism in Eukaryota, Viridiplantae, Streptophyta, Magnoliopsida, Poales, Poaceae.